CAAAUACUUUUUUCCCUCACUGUAGAUGCAUGUUGGUGCUUUACAAGUUCCUCGAGUUUGUAUUCUACUGAGGUUAAUCUCCAGUCUUGUGUGCUCAGUGAGGCCUACAGCAUGGCAGUGCAAGAGGUGGCUCCCUCCAUGGCAUCCUUGAAGAAGGCCAUGUCUGAUGCGAUGUCAGCGAACAUGGUCUUGUGCAGGCUUGCAGUGACUGGCUCAUUGGCAGUGGGUUGCCUGGACUUGGGACCUGUGGGAAGGUUGAACAAAACCCCAGCGCCUUGAUCAAAAGGGCUUUCCUCCGAGGAAUAGGAAGAGCCCUCGUCCCUCAUCACCAUUUUGUCCCGAUUUUGGUCCCGAUUUGUCCCGAGUUCUCCGAUAUCGCGGGAAGAUGUGCCUUUGCCGGCUCUCUGUUUUAUGUUUUUGCGUCCCAUGACCACCCAUCUCAGCCUAGAGAGGGGGAGAUGAGCAGGUAAGUACUUUUACCAUCUUAAAUCAGUCGAUUUUGUUAUUUGGAGGCACACAGCCCACAAGAGCACAAUUUCUCCAUUCUUCAGCUGGCUCGGUUCCCCUUGUUCAAUUGUUUUAGGUUUUAAAACCCUAAAUAUG
Pelobates cultripes (western spadefoot toad) is the source of this 603-nucleotide non-coding RNA. The record is from the annotation of a GenBank genome assembly. NCBI's taxonomy places the organism in Eukaryota, Metazoa, Chordata, Amphibia, Anura, Pelobatidae.